CCUACGGGUGGCAGCAGUGAGGAAUAUUGGUCAAUGGCCGAGAGGCUGAACCAGCCAAGUCGCGUGAGGGAAGACGGCCCUACGGGUUGUAAACCUCUUUUGUCGGGGAGCAAAGAGAGUCACGUGUGACUCAUGGAGAGUACCCGAAGAAAAAGCAUCGGCUAACUCCGUGACAGCAGCCGCGGUAAUACGGAGGAUGCGAGCGUUAUCCGGAUUUAUGGGGUUUAAGGGGUGCGCAGGCGGAGGGGCAAGUCCGCGGUCAAAUUGCGGGGCUCAACCCCGUACUGCCGUUGAAACUGCAUCCCUUGAGUGCGCGAGAAGUAUGCGGAAUGCGUGGUGUAGCGGUGAAAUGCAUAGAUAUCACGCAGAACUCCGAUUGCGAAGGCAGCAUACCGGCGCGCAACUGACGCUCAUGCACGAAAGCGUGGGUAUCGAACAGGAUUAGAUACCCCUGUAGUC
This 459-nucleotide ribosomal RNA is filed under the name uncultured bacterium. RNAcentral describes it as "partial 16S ribosomal RNA". It matches the Rfam family "Bacterial small subunit ribosomal RNA", at positions 338 to 795 of the family's 1533-position model. The record is from RNAcentral.